CAUCAAGCAAGCCCAAGUUGCCUAAAGCAGAGGAUGCAAGAAAGGAGGGCACACCAGUGUCCCCCGUGGUAUCUCAGACGGCUCCUUCCUUGAAGCAUCCCACUGGAUUGAGACAUUCUCGUGAAACUACAGACAUAGAGAUGAAGGGUGCCAGGAAGAAGGAUGUCAAGACUAUUACAUCAG
This is a non-coding RNA of Marmota flaviventris (yellow-bellied marmot), 183 nucleotides long. The record is from RefSeq and is a predicted model, not a curated record. NCBI's taxonomy places the organism in Eukaryota, Metazoa, Chordata, Mammalia, Rodentia, Sciuridae.